ACGAAGGUUGGUCGUGGAAUAAGGGGGGGGCUAUCAUGCAAGUCGAGCGGAAGAUGGGAGCUUGCUCCCUGAUGUUAGCGGCGGACGGGUGAGUAACACGUGGGUAACCUGCCUGUAAGACUGGGAUAACUCCGGGAAACCGGGGCUAAUACCGGAUGGUUGUUUGAACCGCAUGGUUCAAACAUAAAAGGUGGCUUCGGCUACCACUUACAGAUGGACCCGCGGCGCAUUAGCUAGUUGGUGAGGUAACGGCUCACCAAGGCAACGAUGCGUAGCCAACCUGAGAGGGUGAUCGGCCACACUGGGACUGAAACACGGCCCAAACUCCUACGGGAGGCAGCAGUAGGGAAUCUUCCGCAAUGGACAAAAGUCUGACGGAGCACCGCCGCGUGAGUGAUGAAGGUUUUCGGAUCGUAAAGCUCUGUUGUUAGGGAAAAACAAGUACCGUUCGAAUAGGGCGGUACCUUGACGGUACCUAACCAAAAAGCCACGGCUAACUACGUGCCAGCAGCCGCGGUAAUACGUAGGUGGCAAGCGUUGUCCGGAAUUAUUGGGCGUAAAGGGCUCGCAGGCGGUUUCUUAAGUCUGAUGUGAAAGCCCCCGGCUCAACCGGGGAGGGUCAUUGAAAACUGGGGAACUUGAGUGCAGAAGAGGAGAGUGGAAUUCCACGUGUAGCGGUGAAAUGCGUAGAAGAUGUGGAGGAACACCAGUGCGAAGGCGACUCUCUGGUCUGUAACUGACGCUGAGGAGCGAAAGCGUGGGGAGCGAACAGGAUUAGAUACCCUGGUAGUCCACGCCGUAAACGAUGAGGUGCUAAGUUGUUAAGGGGGGUUUCCGCCCCCUUUAAGUGCUGCCAGCUUAACGGC
RNAcentral lists this ribosomal RNA (866 nucleotides) under Bacillus subtilis. Its description in RNAcentral is "bacterial SSU rRNA". It matches the Rfam family "Bacterial small subunit ribosomal RNA", at positions 1 to 866 of the family's 1533-position model. The record is from RNAcentral. Lineage: Bacteria; Bacillati; Bacillota; Bacilli; Caryophanales; Bacillaceae.